GAGGGCAAAUUCCCUUUCUAUGGGGACCUUUAUAUAACCUCUAUUUAUUAGGGCAGGGGGGGUAGAAGGACACUUUCUCUACAGGCACGUUGCCCCAUAGCUGUCUACUAGAGAGUUUCUUCCUCUGGAGGAGCUGGAAUUGGACACUGUCAAAGAUGGGAUACUGGAUUAGAUGGACUACCAGUCUGAGACAGUCCAGCAAUCCCUAUGUUAAGCUGCAGCGCAACAUAUCUAGGUAUGUAGUAAGAUGGCAGCAAACGGGCACAAGAAAUUCCACGCAAGAAAAAUUAAGAAUUUCAGACGUGGAAGUGCAAAAUCGCCCUCCCACCCCACCUCGUCACCAUGAAGAGGUGCACAUCGGAUGAGCUGCAGCAGCCGGAGGAGGACUGUGCUGGGGGUGAAGAUGCCCCCAACCUGGCUGCCAUGGAUGCGAAACCUGGGGAUUGCGCUUCUGCUCUGUCAGAUUCGGGCACUGCUGCUAAUCCAAACCCUGCUCCCCAGCCUGUUCCCCGGAGCAAGCCUCCUGAUUUGAAGAAAAUACAGCAGCUCUCAGAAGGCUCCAUGUUUGGCCAUGGCCUGAAGCACCUUUUCCACAGUCGCCGCAGGUCGCGGGAACGGGAGCAUCAGAACUCCCAGGACUCUCUGUCGCAGCACUACGGGAUGUCUGACCACGACUCCCCUGAUGAGAAGGAACGCUCGCCAGAGAUGCACCGUGUCUCCUACGCCAUGUCCCUCCACGACCUCCCUGUACGCCCCACUGCCUUCAACAGGGUGCUGCAGCAGAUCCGCUCCCGCCCAUCUAUCAAGAGAGGGAGCAGCUUGCACAGUGGCAGCCGCCGGAGCAAAAGCAGCUCCCUUGAUCCCCAGAAAGGCAGCCCCCAUCUGGUCCGGAAGGCUCCCCAGGAUAGUAGCCUCACAGCCAUACUGCAUCAGCACCAGGGCCGGCCAAGGUCUUCAUCUGCCACAGACACCGCCAUCUUGCUGGCUGAAAGUGGGGCUGUGUACCUCCUCCCAGAGGAGUCGGAGUGCCUCGCCGACAAGCUGGACAAAGGGGACGUGAGCACGCUUAGUCUGCCUUCCAACGCCAGCCAUGGCGACGCCGACAUCAGCAACAUCUGCUUGGAUGUCCCAGAUGGCACCCCAGACCCGCACAGGACGAAAGCCGCCAUCGACCACCUGCACCAGAAAAUCCUCAAGAUCACCGAGCAGAUCAAGAUUGAGCAGGAGGCUCGGGAUGACAACGUAGCCGAAUACCUGAAACUGGCCAACAACGCUGACAAGCAGCAGGCCUCCCGCAUCAAGCAAGUCUUUGAGAAGAAGAACCAGAAGUCGGCCCAGACCAUCGCCCAGCUCCAUAAGAAGCUUGAGCACUACCACAAGAAGCUAAAGGAGAUUGAACAGAACGGGCUCUCCCGACAGCCCAAGGAUGUCUUCCGGGACAUGCACCAGGGCCUCAAGGAUGUAGGGGCCAACGUCCGGUCCAGCAUCAGCGGUUUUGGAGGCGGGGUAGUGGAAGGCGUCAAGGGAAGCCUGUCGGGUUUGUCCCAGGCCACCCACACGGCUGUGGUCUCCAAGCCCCGGGAGUUCGCCAGCCUGAUCCGGAACAAGUUUGGCAGCGCCGACAACAUCGCCCACCUGAAGGACACUCUGGAUGACGGGCACCCCGAGGAGGCCUCAAGGACUCUGAGCGGCAGCGCCACCCUGGUGUCCAGCCCCAAGUACGGCAGCGACGACGAGUGCUCUAGUGCCACCUCGGGAUCGGCAGCGGGCAGCAACUCAGGGGCAGGGGCAGGGCCCGGCGGCUUGGGGAGCCCCAAGUCCAAUACCCUGGACAGUCACCAUAAUAACUUUGACACCAUCCUGGAGGAGCUCCGGGAGAUUAAGGACAGUCAGUCGCACCUGGAGGACUCGAUGGAGGAUCUCAAGGCGCAGCUGCAGAGGGACUAUACCUACAUGACGCAGUGCUUGCAAGAGGAGCGGUACAGAUACGAACGCCUGGAAGAGCAGCUGAAUGACCUGACGGAGCUCCACCAGAAUGAAAUGACCAACCUGAAGCAAGAGCUAGCCAGCAUGGAGGAGAAGGUGGCCUAUCAGUCCUACGAGAGGGCCAGGGACAUCCAGGAAGCGGUGGAGUCGUGCCUCACCCGUGUCACCAAGCUGGAGCUCCAGCAGCAGCAGCAGCAGGUGGUGCAGCUGGAAGGGGUGGAGAACGCCAAUGCCCGGGCCCUGCUGGGCAAAUUCAUCAACGUCAUUCUGGCCCUCAUGGCGGUGCUGCUCGUCUUCGUCUCCACCAUCGCCAACUUCAUCACGCCCCUCAUGAAGACCCGCAUGCGCAUCCUCAGCACCGCCCUGCUGUUCCUCUUCCUCCUCUUCCUCUGGAAGCACUGGGACUCCAUCACUUAUUUCCUGGAGCAUGUGUUGCUCCCCAGCUGAUUCCCUGGGGCAGCAUUCCAUUUUCCUACUGAGAAAACAGGAAAGGGAUGGGGGAGAAACUGGAGCCUUCCAUAAAAUAUCUUCAUUCAGUCAGUCAGUCUGGUUUCCCACCCCCUGCACCCAUCCGUAUUCACAUCCAGCAUCCUCAUUGUGGCCAGGAGCAUGGCCUGUUGAGCCAGGAUUGUUCACUCCUCCGCGAAGCCCUGGAAGGUGAGGAUGGAGAGAGCGAUGGAGAGUUUGGAAGAAGCCUGUAACUGACAUGUUCUUGGUUUGUUUGUUUGUUUUUUAAAUGACAUGAUCGUAAUAGUCUCUGGGCACGAGGCUUUCUUUACAUGCCAGUUGCCACCAGGACUGUAAUUUAAAAGCUUUGUAUCCAGAGCAGAGUUUGCCUUCAAACCCAGCCACCGGGAAACUUUCUCUAGAGCGAGGAGAGGUUUUUUCCUUAAAGACAAGGCUGGCGAAAAGCUCAGCCUGGGAUCCAAUAAAGAAAUCAAUAGCAAGAGGAAGAAGUGGAGCUCAAGUGAAUAUUCUAAUGUUUCUGCUCCCGGGAGAGCUUGCAUAUUUGAUGAAGCAGAAUGUACACAUCACACCAGCUUUUCCAGACCAGACGCACAUGCAUUCUCGUUACCAAACAGCUGACAAGCCGGACGCAGAAUUGGGGUUGCUAUUUAUUAUUAGGAUGGCUUCCUCUGCACAGCUGAUCAUUGGCGUGUGGCCAGCGGAUACCAGUUCUGGUUCCAAUCAGGAAACGCGUACACUUCUGGCACAGUAACACCUACAGGCCCCAAAUCAAGUUCCGGGCGCCAUUGUGCUGAGCAGACAUGUAGUAAGAGAGUCCCUGCCCCAGAGAGCUUACAGUUUAAACAGGAGAGACACACGAAUGGGAGGAGAGGCGAAGGGAAGUGGCUUGCUUAAAGGCACCCAGUAAGUUAGUUGCAGAAUUGGUAAUAGAAACCAGGUUUCCUGCAUCCUAGGUCAAUGUCCUACCCCCUGGACCAUGCCAUCCCUCAAGCAGCUCUUUACAUGUGCAAAAACAGUUUGAGAUCAUGGUUUGCAACAGUGAUAAGGAGGGACCAUCCCUUCUGCAGAGAUGACCACUAACUCCUGAGUCGGCUCUCAGUUAGGCUGCAGCACCACUUACUGCUGCCAAAGUCACAUGUGCUCCACCAGGAGCAAGGAGAGGAAGAGGGGCCCUUUAACCCCUCCAUUGUUUCCUCUCCUUCUCAAUAAGCCAUUCCCUCUAUUUCCCUGGUGCCUCAGGACCCACAUGUUGACCUGAUCCCCUCCUCCUGCAGCUAGAACGCUGACAGAGCAUGAGGCAUUUCCAUGCAAUCAGCCACUCCCCUGCUGCCCAAUGGAUGAGAAUCUGUGGGAUCUUUCUGCCUGUCCAUCAUUCUAAAAGCAUCAUCCAUCCCUAAUCCAAUCACUGUCAGCAUCACUGUACAGGCUGCAGGGACAGUGUUACCACCUGGACCAGUGGUUCACCAAUCACUGUGGUCUCUAACUGCUUCCACAGAGGUACCCCUUGUCCGCUGCAUUAUGAGCUGCACCAGAACUAUAAAGCAAGGAACGGGCAAAACAGAACUCCAAGGCAGACUCCCAUGCUACCCUCCAAACCCACUUCUCCUCAGGAGCAAGGCCCACCCGAGUCAAAGUAUAGCUCUGCUGUUCCUGCACACACUGCCUCUGGUCAGUCGUAGCAGAAACAGGAGAAGAGGACCUUGCUUCACAUGUAUUUUAAUGGCUGGUUGUUUCACUGGCGGAAUGUAGUUUCAAAGACUUGGUGACAACCAUUCAGAUCAACCAUCAAACAUGCCAUCGGCAGCAUUUAGAGGCUGAACUAAAUCUGGGAUGGAACAUGUUGAUACAUGAAAGGAGGAAGUUUUGAAGGCGAAAUGUAGUGGAGAUUAGACUUGGGAGGUGUAGGGCCUGAUUCGCCCUUGCCCUGCCCUGCGUCUCAUCAUUUACCUCCACGCCAAGUGAGGGGGAAGUGCCACUCAACCAGAACAAGAGCGUGGUCUAGCCACUUUGCACUAGUGCAAAUGAUGACAAGAUGCAAGGCAGCCUCAGGCCCACACAUUGGGUGGCUGGGGCUAAAUCUCCUCUUACCCCACACUUGUCCACUGACUGCUCCUGAUUUACCACAGUAGAAAACCAGAAUCAGGCCCCCUGCUGUCCCUUAUGGAAAUAUGGGCAAUUGCUGACCACUCGCUCUUCCCAUCUAAGUGUCAAAGACGCGCCAUAGAAGGCAAAAAGGCACAGGAGACGGAGUGGAAGGGUUGCUAACCUGGUGGUGGUGAUCAGGCUGCACCGUAGAGCUCCCCAGGUUUCAUUUGGCUGACAGGUUUCCCUCUCUUUAUCUCUAAGCACUGGUUUAAAAAGGACAAGCCACAGCUGUUUUGAGCAAACGUAUCUUCUCGGGUCUGCACAGGAUUCAAGAAUGGGGGGAGGCCAAAACCAAACUAACCAAAAAAAACCCUUUUAAGAAAGCCUCCAAAUCACCCCCAGUCACCAGAGCUCCUAGUCAACACUUGAAAGUUAGGUCGACCUAGCGACAUGACUCAGAGCUGUGGAAAAUUUCAAAGCGCUGAGCACCUGUUAGGUCAUCCUAACCCCCAGCGUAGACACAGCAGGGUCUACGCUACAGCAGAGCACCAUAGCUGUAUCACUGCAGCAGUGGAAGCACAGACAUACCCUUAAU
This is an RNA transcript of Mauremys mutica (yellowpond turtle), 5134 nucleotides long. It is a transcript of the gene named transmembrane and coiled-coil domain family 2, with no coding region annotated. Lineage: Eukaryota; Metazoa; Chordata; Testudines; Geoemydidae. The record is from RefSeq and is a predicted model, not a curated record. The transcript has 8 exons.